RNAcentral lists this ribosomal RNA (332 nucleotides) under uncultured bacterium. Its description in RNAcentral is "bacterial SSU rRNA". It matches the Rfam family "Bacterial small subunit ribosomal RNA", at positions 72 to 422 of the family's 1533-position model. The record is from RNAcentral.
AGCCACCUUCGGGUGGUGGACAGUGGCAGACGGGUGAGUAACGCGUGGGAACGUGCCUUUCGGUUCGGAAUAACCCAGGGAAACUUGGGCUAAUACCGGAUACGCCCUUCGGGGGAAAGAUUCAUUGCCGAAAGAUCGGCCCGCGUCGGAUUAGCUAGUUGGUGGGGUAAUGGCUCACCAAGGCGACGAUCCGUAGCUGGUCUGAGAGGAUGACCAGCCACACUGGGACUGAGACACGGCCCAGACUCCUACGGGAGGCAGCAGUGGGGAAUAUUGGACAAUGGGCGAAAGCCUGAUCCAGCCAUGCCGCGUGGGUGAAGAAGGCCUUAGGG